UAGAAACCACAUCAACAGCAAAAACAAGGAAAUUAAUGCAAGUGAUAGGUCAAAAUGGUAAAACAAAUCCCACAGGCUGAAGGGAGGAUUUCUCAUUUUCUUUUCUUCUUUUUCCUUUUUAGGUUUAGAGGGGGCAGUAUAGCUGGGCUGUUGAGAUUUGGACAUUUGUUGUUUUAUUAGAUUACAGACAGUAUUUGAUAAAUGAAUUGAAUUUGAUAACUAAACAGGCUUGCACGUCAAACAAGUAAGGAUUUAACAAUUCUUUUUCUUAUAUGCUACUUAUGUGCACAUACUUUGUAUGUGUACAUAAUAACAUAUUUAAAAACAAGUGUG
Molecule: unclassified non-coding RNA, 333 nt
Filed under: Hevea brasiliensis (rubber tree)
Lineage: Eukaryota; Viridiplantae; Streptophyta; Magnoliopsida; Malpighiales; Euphorbiaceae
Source: RNAcentral